CUCCCACUUAGUUUCUGGUUCAGUCACAGAGGAGUCACUAUUAUCCUGUCUUCCAGUGGGUCACCAGCUACUCAUUACCCAGAAUGCUUUGCUCAUCAUGGUUGGCUCCCAGCAGCUUAGAAGGAAUAGGAUCCAACACUUCCUGUAUGUUAAGGAUAUGCAUCUGGGCCCAUUAGAAUUCUCUCCUUGGGUUUGGAAGUGUGGAUUCUGUAUCUCUUUAAAAAACGUAAUAUUUGAUCUUGGGGACCCUGGGCAGCCGUUUUAUACUCAUGAACGGAGAGAGCGGCACCGCGCUAAGAAGGAGGUGGGAGAGUUGUAAUGAGCGUCUGGCGCUCUCUUCUCCCCUUCUAGCCCUCUGCUCCUGCACUUGGGCUUUGGGAUAAAGUCAUCCAUCUGCCCCUCUUUGUGACCAGAGCGAGUGAGUGGCUUUUUAAUGGAAAGACGACUUCAAGCAUCUCUGUAUCCAGACGCGGCUGCAAAAAGCAGGGCAAAGCAACAGACAAAAGGACAGAGGUGUAUACAAACGGUUGGGAAACUGGACCGUUCCUUUGUUCCUUUCUGGGAAGUUUACAGCAAGCAGAGCCCUGAGCGGAGACUAACCAAUGAUGAGCAUGAUAUGGCCACGGCCGGAAACGCCAGGAGCGCAUCUAUUUUUUGCAGACCAGGCAAAUAGUAGUUCAUCCUUCUUCUACCUGGUAGAGAGUGGUCACUGGAGAGACGAAAGUACAACAGGAGCCUUUCAAGAUCUAUGUCUGAAGUUUUGCUGAGUCUCUAAAAUCACCCCGUGCCUUGGAGAGAGGACUCAGCUUGGAAUGUGUAGCUGGCCUCAGAGCCUCAGUGGAGAUCACUUUGGGUGAGAUCCUGGCUCACUCUCCCGCUCUCUUCUUGUAACUAUCAGGCAGGUCAUCAAUCUUCCCACAAGUUGACCACAUUUUUGGACACAAGCAAGUCUCUACAGAUACAAGAAUAUUGAGGCUGCAGGCCAACGUUGGAACCGAUAUUUGCAUCAGUGAAGAGUGCAGUCGUUAAUUCAGAAAGUGAUCAAAAGAAGGCACUGUAAGUAGAGUUUGUCAUGGGCCCUUUCCUCCCCAGACUUUCUGCCUCUCGCUGUAUGUUUUCCCAAAGCUUGGCUCAGCAUGGGAGCUUAAGAUGCAAAAUGUUGGGUGAGAAGCUGCUUCCUGGGUUCUUGCAAGU
Long non-coding RNA from Mus musculus (house mouse), 1194 nucleotides. RefSeq annotates it as predicted gene, 41385. The record is from RefSeq and is a predicted model, not a curated record. The transcript is spliced from 5 exons. Lineage: Eukaryota; Metazoa; Chordata; Mammalia; Rodentia; Muridae.